RNAcentral lists this ribosomal RNA (800 nucleotides) under uncultured bacterium. RNAcentral's name for it is "bacterial SSU rRNA". It matches the Rfam family "Bacterial small subunit ribosomal RNA", at positions 126 to 939 of the family's 1533-position model. The record is from RNAcentral.
CUGCCCUUGACUCUGGGAUAACUGCGGGAAACUGUAGCUAAUACCGGAUACUUUCCCUGCUGGGCAUCCAGUGGGGAAGAAAGAAUUUCGGUCAAGGAUGAGCUCGCGGCCUAUCAGCUAGUUGGUGAGGUAAUGGCUCACCAAGGCGACGACGGGUAGCCGGCCUGAGAGGGUGACCGGCCACACUGGAACUGAGACACGGUCCAGACUCCUACGGGAGGCAGCAGUGGGGAAUAUUGCACAAUGGGCGAAAGCCUGAUGCAGCAACGCCGCGUGAGGGACGAAGGCCUUCGGGUUGUAAACCUCUUUUAGCAGGGAAGAAGCGAAAGUGACGGUACCUGCAGAAAAAGCACCGGCUAACUACGUGCCAGCAGCCGCGGUAAUACGUAGGGUGCAAGCGUUGUCCGGAAUUAUUGGGCGUAAAGAGCUCGUAGGCGGUUUGUCACGUCUGCUGUGAAAUUUCGAGGCUCAACCUCGAACUUGCAGUGGGUACGGGCAGGCUAGAGUGCGGUAGGGGAGAUGGGAAUUCCUGGUGUAGCGGUGGAAUGCGCAGAUACCAGGAGGAACACCAAUGGCGAAGGCAGGACUCUGGGCCAUUACUGACACUGAGGAGCGAAAGCGUGGGGAGCGAACAGGAUUAGAUACCCUGGUAGUCCACGCCGUAAACGGUGGGCACUAGUUGUGGGGACCUUCCACGGUCUCUGCGACGCAGCUAACGCAUUAAGUGCCCCGCCUGGGGAGUACGGUCGCAAGACUAAAACUCAAAGGAAUUGACGGGGGCCCGCACAAGCGGUGGAGCA